This 774-nucleotide ribosomal RNA is filed under the name uncultured Neocallimastigales. RNAcentral's name for it is "partial large subunit ribosomal RNA". It matches the Rfam family "Eukaryotic large subunit ribosomal RNA", at positions 24 to 635 of the family's 3401-position model. Lineage: Eukaryota; Fungi; Neocallimastigomycota; Neocallimastigomycetes; Neocallimastigales. The record is from RNAcentral.
UAUGUGAUCGUCUCUCGCAUAUCAAUAAGCGGAGGAAAAGAAACUAACAAGGAUUCCCCUAGUAACGGCGAGUGAAGCGGGAAGAGCUCAAAUUUGAAAUCUUAAAGGGUUUCCCUUUACGAAUUGUAGUUUAAAGAAGUGUUUUCUGUUGAGGUUUUGGUAAAAGUUCUUUGGAAUAGGACAUCAUAGAGGGUGAGAAUCCCGUAUUUGACCUUUACUUUCAACUUUGUGAUACACUUUCAAAGAGUCGGAUUGUUUGGGAAUGCAGUCCAAAAUGGGUGGUAAAUUUCAUCUAAAGCUAAAUAUUGGCGAGAGACCGAUAGCGAACAAGUACCGUGAGGGAAAGAUGAAAAGAACUUUGAAAAGAGAGUUAAACAGUACGUGAAAUUGUCAGAAGGGAAGCGUUUGACACCAGUGUUGUUUUUCUGAAAAUCAAUUAAAGAACUGUUUAUGCUAAGCUGUUUAGACUUUAUCAGCUAUCUGUUUAGUUUUGAGCUUUUCUUUAAUGCACUUUUCAGUUAACAAGUCAACAUCAAUUUCUUUUGCUGUAAAAAAGCUUGAGGAAGGUGGCUUGAGAUUCGUCUUAAGUGUUUAUAGCCUCUUGCCUAUGCAGUCGGAGAGAUUGAGGUCUGCAGCGUAGAUCCUUCGGGGCUAAAUGCAUUUGUGCUAAGUUAUAGCAUUUUAUAGACAACUUGUUGACUAUGAUUUGUCUUGUAGCUUACUCGCUUAUGUUAUUUUACCUACGCUUAGGAUGUUGAACGCGCACAGAGUCUC